GACGAACGCUGGCGGCGUGCUUAACACAUGCAAGUCGAACGAAGAGCGAUGGAAGUUUGUUUUCAUCAAUUUUAGUCGCGAACGGGAGUGUAACGUGUAAUCACCCCGUCCUUCAGUGGGGGAACACAGUGGGAAAGGACUGCUAAUACCGCAUACGAUUUAAUCUCGGCAUCGAGGAUAGAAGAACGGUUUUCUUUACAUGUAUGCUAUCAUCGACGCAGGGGAUUGCGUCUGAUUAGCUAGUUGGGGGGGUAACGGACCAACAAGGCGAUGCUUGGUAGCCCGACUGGAGGGAGUGACCGCCCACUUGGGACUGAGACACGGCCCAGGCUCCUACGGGGAGCAGCAAUGGGGAAUCUUCCGGAAUGGACGGAAGUCUGGCGGGACAACGCCGCGUGGGUGAUGACAGGCCUCGGGUUGUAAAGCUCUGUUUAUCGGGGCGAAAGACCUUCUUGCGAAAAGUUAGAAGGAUUGACGGUACCGAAAUAGAAAGCCACGGCUAACUACGUG
Molecule: ribosomal RNA, 510 nt
Filed under: uncultured bacterium
Lineage: Bacteria
Description: partial 16S ribosomal RNA
Rfam family: Bacterial small subunit ribosomal RNA
Source: RNAcentral